This 253-nucleotide ribosomal RNA is filed under the name uncultured bacterium. RNAcentral's name for it is "partial 16S ribosomal RNA". It matches the Rfam family "Bacterial small subunit ribosomal RNA", at positions 524 to 776 of the family's 1533-position model. The record is from RNAcentral.
UACGUAGGUGGCGAGCGUUGUCCGGAUUUACUGGGCGUAAAGGGCUUGUAGGCGGUCCGUUAAGUCCGAUGUGAAAUCUCCCGGCUCAACUGGGAGAGGUCAUUGGAUACUGGCGGACUAGAGGGGGGUAGAGGAAAGCAGAAUUCCUGGUGUAGCGGUGAAAUGCGUAGAUAUCAGGAGGAAUACCAGUGGCGAAGGCGUCACGCUAGAACGGCUCCGACAGUGAGGGACGAAGCCCUGGGGCGCAAACCGG